Molecule: ribosomal RNA, 401 nt
Filed under: uncultured bacterium
Lineage: Bacteria
Description: bacterial SSU rRNA
Rfam family: Bacterial small subunit ribosomal RNA
Source: RNAcentral
UGGGGAAUAUUGGACAAUGGGCGAAAGCCUGAUCCAGCAAUGCCGCGUGAGUGAUGAAGGCCUUAGGGUUGUAAAGCUCUUUUACCCGGGAUGAUAAUGACAGUACCGGGAGAAUAAGCCCCGGCUAACUCCGUGCCAGCAGCCGCGGUAAUACGGAGGGGGCUAGCGUUGUUCGGAAUUACUGGGCGUAAAGCGCACGUAGGCGGGUUGUUAAGUCAGGGGUGAAAUCCUGGAGCUCAACUCCAGAACUGCCUUUGAUACUGGCAACCUAGAGACUGGAAGAGGUUAGUGGAAUUCCCAGUGUAGAGGUGAAAUUCGUAGAUAUUGGGAAGAACACCAGUGGCGAAGGCGGCUAACUGGUCCAGCACUGACGCUGAGGUGCGAAAGCGUGGGGAGCAAAC